GUCCUUCUUGGCAGCAGCUUUCCUCAUGGCAGCCAGAACGUUGCUCAGCUCCUCCCUCUUUCUCUUGGCACGGAUGUGAGUGCCAAUCUUCUUAAUGAACUUGUUG
Molecule: long non-coding RNA, 106 nt
Organism: Notothenia coriiceps (black rockcod)
Lineage: Eukaryota; Metazoa; Chordata; Actinopteri; Perciformes; Nototheniidae
Exons: 3
Source: RefSeq, a predicted model, not a curated record